Long non-coding RNA from Hydractinia symbiolongicarpus, 1782 nucleotides. RefSeq lists it as uncharacterized. Lineage: Eukaryota; Metazoa; Cnidaria; Hydrozoa; Anthoathecata; Hydractiniidae. The transcript is spliced from 2 exons. The record is from RefSeq and is a predicted model, not a curated record.
GGUGAGUUGUAUCGUUUUUUUUACCGGCGGCAGCGGUGGCGAUGGCCGGAACCUUAUGGGAAACACAAAAGUCACCUAGUUGACUAUGAAUCUUUCGCAGGUUUUGAUUUUUUAAAAGUAAUUUAUUUACGGCCCUUGUUUUUUAUCAACCUAAAUAAGAAAGAGACAAUAGGAAGUGAAAUGAGGUUGUUGUGUACAUUCGUAAUUUUCCGUGUGUAAAGUUGUUUGGGAGUCUAAACUUUUACCUGUCAUCAGCGGCUUAUUUCCUAAAAUGGCAGGGAUUACUUUUUGAAAACAUAACUUUGACAAAAGAGAAACAGCAAGACAUCCGAUAACAGUUACCGUAAGUCUACCGUGGCUAAUCUACACAAUUUGCUUGCUAAACAAAAUCUUUCUUCACGAGGACAAUUUUUAAUUGAUUUAAACCAACAUCGUCCCCAGGACCUCUUUUCGAUUUUUGAUAUAUGGGGUCCCUGGGACGAGGUUGACAUUUUACUGGUCAAUUAGUAGAUUCUGGCCCCGAAAUUGUUUAAUAAUACACUGUAGCUGAUUAAAACAGCGUAUGUAUUCCCUGAUUAUCUCACGGUCAUUUACGGCAGGAAAAAAAGUGUGCGCAUGCGCCAUUAUUUGUUAUCAAAUUUUCUGCCGCAAGCGAUUCAUAAUGGCCACCAUCGCAAGUGCUUCUAAUUUCCCUUAAAAACAAAUGUUUUUUGAGCCUCUGCGGUAGAGAUCAUCCCCUAAAAGGAUUUUAUUUUAGUAGAGCAGGCCUUGGACUAUACAAAAACUCUAGAUUCGACUACCCGAACACUUUCACUUUUGUUGGGAGGAGACAGAAAGAAUAGCAAUGUUUUGAUUAUAAAAUUUUAUAAGUUGGUGGAAAAUGAAGAUAUUUGCUUUCCAACGCAAAGUCAUGCUUUCAGAUAUGUUUUUCCUGAAAGCUGAUAGCCUGUUUUAUCAAAUAAAACCAGUGGUUUGUGGCUGCCACUUUUUUUCUGAAAGAAAUUGGUCCUCGGAAAUGACCUUUCACAAGACUUCAUAAAUCGGGCACCAGUCCCAAAUUGUUCUAUGAUACAAAACAUGUUGGCACGAUUUCAUUGAAGUAAUUUUGACCCAAUAAUUCACAAUUUCAAGCGUCAUUCAAACGUGAUUUGCAUGUGAAGAUUUGUUGACAGAAGCGGUUAAAAAAAUGAUGGAACAAUGAUGAAACAGAAGAUCUUGCUGAUUUGCUCGAUUACCACUUUUUGUUGGAUGCGUUUGAAAUAAGAAUAUAUUCGUGAAAUCCAGAUUAUGAAUUGAAAUAAAAAAUACUUGUAAUAGCCUAAUUUGUAAAGUAUUUUUAUAUAAUUCAGAUUGACUUUCGUGGUGAAAAAUCUCACAAUUAGGGAAUGGUCUAGGCUGAAAUGUCUGUGUAAAUGGUUAGCUUUUUCGUUUAACAUAUAUAUAGCUAUAUAACUGUACAAUUUUUUUCAUUUGCAAUCAUUUGCUAGUCUAACAACAACAACAAUAAUGAUAAAUAUUUAAAGUGUUUCUAGCCCAGAAAAUCACAAAAACCUAUUGUUAGUGGAUUAUUUCCAUUGGGGUCCACUGAGUCUGAGUGAAGCUAGCUUUCUCACAUUUACGUUUAGUUUUAGCAGGCUUCUAGAUAGAGAAAACUAAUCAAGACCAACCUUUAGCUAAGGUUACAGAUCAGAUGAAUUAUUUUUUUUUCCUUUUAAAAUUUAAUUUUAGUAGUAUAAUAUCGUUUGUUCUUUGUUUAUUAGCGUCUAUUUUACAUUUCUAAUA